AUGGUAAAACGAGGGCUUAGCUGUCUCCUUUUUCAUGUCAAUGAAAUUGAUCUACCCGUGCAAAAGCGGGUAUUAUCUUAUAAGACGAGAAGACCCUGUGAAGCUUUAGACAAUAAGACAGACCCGGCCUAAAACCACUAAUAAAGGACUAAGCUUUAAACCCCUGUCUCAGUGUCUUCGGUUGGGGCGACCACGGGGAGUUGCGUAACCCCCGCGUGGACUGGGAACAAGAGUGUUUUUGUUCCUAAAGAUAAGAGCCUCCGUUCUAAUAAACAGAAUUUCUGACCUUACAAGAUCCGGCAAUGCCGAUCAACGAACCAAGUUACUCCAGGGAUAACAGCGCCAUCCUCUUUCAGAGCCCUUAUCGACAAGGGGGUUUACGACCUCGAUGUUGGAUCAGGACAUCCUAAUGGUGUAGCCGCUAUUAAGGGUUCGUUUGUUCAACGAUUAAUAGUCCUACGUGAUCU
Molecule: ribosomal RNA, 467 nt
Filed under: Johnius trewavasae
Lineage: Eukaryota; Metazoa; Chordata; Actinopteri; Sciaenidae
Description: partial large subunit ribosomal RNA
Rfam family: Bacterial large subunit ribosomal RNA
Source: RNAcentral